Molecule: non-coding RNA, 134 nt
Organism: Arvicanthis niloticus (Nile rat)
Lineage: Eukaryota; Metazoa; Chordata; Mammalia; Rodentia; Muridae
Source: RefSeq, a predicted model, not a curated record
CUGCAGCCAGUUAAGGUAAUCCAGUUCUUUUUCUCAGGAGGACCUGGUAUGCAAUGGCUGCAGGCAGCAUUCCUUGGGAAUGCAUGCAGCCUGUUGCUUGUAUGAGUUCUCUUAAGUAACCUUGAAGGACAUUU